GGGGAAUUUUGCGCAAUGGGCGAAAGCCUGACGCAGCAACGCCGCGUGUGUGAUGAAGGUCUUCGGAUUGUAAAGCACUUUCGACCGGGACGAAACCCUCCUGGCUAACAUCCAGGGGCUUGACGGUACCGGGAGAAGAAGCACCGGCUAACUCUGUGCCAGCAGCCGCGGUAAUACAGAGGGUGCAAGCGUUGUUCGGAAUUAUUGGGCGUAAAGCGCGUGUAGGCGGCCUAGCAAGUCGGGUGUGAAAGCCCUCAGCUCAACUGAGGAAGUGAGCCCGAAACUGCUGGGCUUGAGUGCCGGAGAGGGUGGCGGAAUUCCCCAAGUAGAGGUGAAAUUCGUAGAUAUGGGGAGGAACACCGGUGGCGAAGGCGGCCACCUGGACGGCAACUGACGCUGAGACGCGAAAGCGUGGGGAGCAAAC
This 424-nucleotide ribosomal RNA is filed under the name uncultured bacterium. Its description in RNAcentral is "bacterial SSU rRNA". It matches the Rfam family "Bacterial small subunit ribosomal RNA", at positions 356 to 773 of the family's 1533-position model. The record is from RNAcentral.